RNAcentral lists this ribosomal RNA (502 nucleotides) under uncultured bacterium. RNAcentral's name for it is "partial 16S ribosomal RNA". It matches the Rfam family "Bacterial small subunit ribosomal RNA", at positions 28 to 507 of the family's 1533-position model. The record is from RNAcentral.
GAUUAACGCUGGCGGCGUGCCUAACACAUGCAAGUCGAGCGGCAGCGAGUUUUACACUGAAUUCUGGAAGCUUCUAGUUGAAAGAGAAGAUUUAUUCAAGAAUUUUGUGUAAAAUGUCGGCGAGCGGCGGACGGCUGAGUAACGCGUGGGAACGUACCCCAAAGUGAGGGAUAACGCAUCGAAAGGUGUGCUAAUACCGCAUAUGGUCUUCGGAUUAAAGCCUUCGGGCGCUUUGGGAACGGCCUGCGUAAGAUUAGAUAGUUGGUGGGGUAAUGGCCUACCAAGUCGACGAUCUUUAACUGGUUUGAGAGGAUGAUCAGUCAGACUGGAACUGAGACACGGUCCAGACUCCUACGGGAGGCAGCAGUGAGGAAUCUUCCACAAUGGGCGAAAGCCUGAUGGAGCAACGCCGCGUGCAGGAUGAAGGCCUUCGGGUUGUAAACUGCUUUUAUAAGUGAGGAUUAUGACAGUAACUUAUGAAUAAGGAGCGGCUAACUACGUG